ACACUCCUACGGGAGGCAGCAGUGGGGAAUAUUGGACAAUGGGCGCAAGCCUGAUCCAGCCAUGCCGCGUGAGUGAUGAAGGCCCUAGGGUUGUAAAGCUCUUUUGUGCGGGAAGAUAAUGACGGUACCGCAAGAAUAAGCCCCGGCUAACUUCGUGCCAGCAGCCGCGGUAAUACGAAGGGGGCUAGCGUUGCUCGGAAUCACUGGGCGUAAAGGGUGCGUAGGCGGGUCUUUAAGUCAGGGGUGAAAUCCUGGAGCUCAACUCCAGAACUGCCUUUGAUACUGAAGAUCUUGAGUUCGGGAGAGGUGAGUGGAACUGCGAGUGUAGAGGUGAAAUUCGUAGAUAUUCGCAAGAACACCAGUGGCGAAGGCGGCUCACUGGCCCGAUACUGACGCUGAGGCACGAAAGCGUGGGGAGCAAACAGGAUUAGAUACCCCAGUAGUCCC
This 447-nucleotide ribosomal RNA is filed under the name uncultured organism. RNAcentral's name for it is "partial 16S ribosomal RNA". It matches the Rfam family "Bacterial small subunit ribosomal RNA", at positions 333 to 797 of the family's 1533-position model. The record is from RNAcentral.